GAUGAACGCUGGCGGCGUGCCUAAUACAUGCAAGUAGAACGCUGAAGGCAGGAUCUUGCUCUUUCCUCAUGUGUUGCGAACGUGUGAGUAACGCGUAUAUCACCUGCCUGAUAGCGGGGGAUAACUAUUGGAAUCGAUAUCUAAUACCGCAUAACCGUCGAUGUUGUAUUAUAUCUACUUAAAAGUUGCAAUUUCACCACUACCAGAUGGACCUUCGUUGUAUUAGAUAGUUGGUGAGGUACCGGCUCACCAAGGCGAGGAUGAAUAGCCGAACUGAGAGGGUGGGCGGCCACACUGGGAGUGAGACAGGGCACAGAGGGCUAGAGGAGGGGGCAGUAGGGAAUCGGGGGGAAUGGACGGGAGACUGACCGAGCAACGCCGCGUGAGUGAGGAGGGUUUUCGGAUCGUAGAGGACUGUUGUAAGAGAAGAAAGAGUGUGAGAGUGGAAAGUACACAGUGUGACGGUAUCGUACAAGAAAGGGACGGCUAACUACGUG
This 497-nucleotide ribosomal RNA is filed under the name uncultured bacterium. Its description in RNAcentral is "partial 16S ribosomal RNA". It matches the Rfam family "Bacterial small subunit ribosomal RNA", at positions 28 to 507 of the family's 1533-position model. The record is from RNAcentral.